AAAGAUUUGCUUCUUUCAAGCUCUGAAAUUUAGAUCCAUGGUCUUUGUUUGAACUGUGUUGUACUGUGAGCUCAUAGCUGGUACUACCAAUGUGUCAAUCCUUAGCAAAAACUUUUAUUAAUAGCUAUGCAUGCGCUGCCUUAGCCUUCCAGUGGCCAUAGGUGAUUGACAUUGGUAAUAGGGGGAUGCAAGUGAUUUAAGUAGAGCUGGGGGCAAUUGUUGCAGUUGCCAUUGCUAUUGCUGUGUGUGGUUUUAACACAAGGGCAUUUGUUUGGGGAAAAAACAGUGUUCAUAUAAUUGAAUUUGAUACUUCUUGGUGAACUGGCCAUGAAUUAACAGGCUUUACACUGCAAGAAAAAGAAAAGAAACAUGAACCAUAACACUCAAGCAGUUUAAGCAUGUCUUACAAGAACAUAAAAGGAAAGAGCCCAGUAAGAGUUAAGUUCUGUGGAAUAGCUAGAGCUCUAGACAUGUGGGUUUUCUCCAAACCAAAAGUCAACAGUUCAUCAAAGCACCGGGCAGCAUAUAACUAUUGGGAAGUGCAUGUAUUCUGACAUCAGUUAGGAAGUGUCCAUAUGGUAGUGGGUGGCACAGUGGCCCCCAAAAUAUAUGUCCACAUCCUAACACCAGGUAUAGAGGGAUGGGACCUUAUUUGGAAAUAGGACUUUUGCAGCUGCAAUUAAAUUGACAAUCUAUUGAUGAGAUUAUGGCUAGAUUUAGAGGGGUCUCUUAAAUCCAAUGACAGGUGUUCCUGUAAGAGACAGAAGACGAGACACAGAUAAAGAAGAGAAGUCCUCAUGGAGAUGGAGGCAGGACUGGAGUGAUGCGGCCACAAGCCCAGGGAAGCCUGAAGUCCCCCAGAAAUGGGAGAGGCAGGAAGGAUUCUCCCCUAGAGCCUCCAAAGGGAGCACCACCCGGAGACACCUUGAUUUCAGAUUUCUGGUGCCCAGAAAUGGUAGAGAAUAAAUUUCUGUUGUUUAAGCCUCCCGGUCUGUGACACUUUUGCUACAGCAGCCCCAGAAAACUCAAACACAACACUCUGUGUGUGUGCUCCUACAGUAACUUCCAUAUACCUCUCAUGGGAGAGGAAGGGGAUUAUUCUUCCAACAAGAUGGAGACUUGCACACAUGCCUUGUAGACACAGAGGAAGCAAAAAGCACAGAAAAGUACUCAGAGGCUUCGCAGACACGUGGGAGACCCUCCUCAGUUGGUAAAACGCCACAGCAAUACCUUACAAUGGGCACAGAACUGUAACAUAAGGAGUGAUCUUCUUUUCUGAGGAGCCAAGGCUAAGAAAACUGAUUCUCGCUGAAAAAGAAAGCAUUUCCAAUGCACACCAGACAUAAAUAAUUCAUGCAAACCAACAUGAAUUAUUUUAGUACGUGGCUUUCAUAAAGUAACUUCUUUGUCUUCAUUAUAUAACCCCUAAAACUUCUCAAAGACUACUCUCAGACUUGUUAAAGCUGAAAAAGCUUAACUAUACAUAUAAACACUGUCAUAUAUCAAAGGCAUAUUUCACCUUACAAAGCAUGCUCACUAGGGCUUUGCUCACGAGACACCAAAAACACGUUCAGUUGCACUUCACCCUGAAAGCAGAAUCUCUUAUCCCUGAAUCAGAAGGGACGUAGGCACACGAAGUCCCAGGGAGAAAAGAGGCAUAUAUAUCGUGCUGAGUUAACAAGAUUUGGCACUUGUCUUUUUCACAGGAAAAGAAGGAACAUGAAAGAUAAGGAUUUUGGCAGUCUCACUAAUUUUUAUAUGGGACGCGGGAUGGGAGAUGAACCCUACCGGAGAUGAUUAUAAAUACCAGUUUGUCUUUGAAACCAGUUUUACGAAUUAAUGCAAUGCCUUAUUUCUUUCUUCUGGAGGAGUCUGUGGUCUCCUUUCAUCCUCAGAUUCUUCGUAGAAGAAAACUGCUCAGAUGUCCUGAGCAAAAUGAUCAAAUUCCAAAACCCAGGGUUUAAGAAAGCAGACAGAAAGCCACAGAGAGGGGAAGUGGUUAAAGAGAGGGGACAUUCCAAAAAGACAGCCACUUAGCACAAACAAUUCAAAUUCCAGUGUUGUUGGUGCCAGAAUCCUUUUCACUGUUGGUGAUGGGAUUUUGAGAAAAGUGUUUCAAAUAGAAGAAUUUGAGGUGUCUUAAAAAUGGGUUUCCAAAGAAAGUGGAGGAGGCGUGAAAAGAUUCCAUUAUCCAGUUGAGAUCGUCAAGUAUCCUGCUGAUCUAUGUGCGGGUCUGGAUACACACAGCCUUCAGGAACUUGGGCACAAACAAAAUCUACUGUGAUGGUUAACACUGAGUGUCAACUGGACUGAUUGAAGGAUGCAAAGUACUGUUCCUGGGUGUGCCUGUGAGGGUGUUGCCAAAGGAGGUGAACAUUUGAGUCAGUGAACUGGGAGAGGCAGACCCACCCUCAGUCUAAGUGGGCACUGUCUCAUCAGCUGCCAGCACAGGUAGGAUAAAGCAGGUAGGAGAAGAUGGAAAAGCAGACUUGCUUAGUCUUCUGGCCUUUAUCUUUCUCCUGUGCUGGAUGCUUCCUGCCCUCGAACAUCAGACUCCAAGUUCUUGGACUUACACCAGUGGUUUGCCAGAGCCUCUCGGGCCUUCGGCCACAGACAGACAGCUGCACUGUUGGCUUCCCUACUUCUGAGGUUUUGGGACUCAGACUGGUUUCCUUGCUCCUCAGCUUGCAGAAGACCUGUUGUGGGACUUCAUUUUGUGAUUGUGGGUCAUUGGGCCACAUCCAGGAAGAACUACCAGAGAAAUCAGCCCAGGCUCAGUCAGCUACAAGUCCCAGGACUGUGGAAGCCAGGGGUCUCCAGAGACAGAGCACCCCACAUCUGAAAGGGCUGAGACACACAGCCCUUGGCCGCUCUAGGAUUCAGUGAUUCCCAACGCGUAUCCUGAAACUCUGAUAAAACAAUGUGCCUCUGUCUCCUGAGUGAAACCGUUUAUGGAGUUAAGUUUACCAGCAUCUGUUUAUUUGGCUACACUGUGAAUGUUAAACAGUUUUUAGAGGUUAUCUGAAUAACUGGCACAGGUGAAAUAAAAUGAAAUAAAAUGUUGUGUUUCCCUCCUUGUGUGCUGGGUUAACUCUUUUGGGAUAUAACAAAGCUUUGAUAUGCCAGCUUUAUAGAUGAUUGAUACUGUGUGCUUGGGUCUUAUUAGCAAUUAAUUACAUCAUUCAUUCAUUCAUUCAUUCAUCAAUUCACCCAUUCAACAGAUGCCUACCCAAAGGUCUUCACAUGCCCAGAAUUUUCCUGGUCACUGGUCAUAACAACAGAGACCUUAUGGAUUUUACAGAGCAGCAAAAGAG
RNAcentral lists this long non-coding RNA (3314 nucleotides) under Homo sapiens (human). RNAcentral's name for it is "HSALNT0279732". The record is from RNAcentral. Lineage: Eukaryota; Metazoa; Chordata; Mammalia; Primates; Hominidae.